Molecule: long non-coding RNA, 377 nt
Organism: Gallus gallus (chicken)
Lineage: Eukaryota; Metazoa; Chordata; Aves; Galliformes; Phasianidae
Source: Ensembl
AUUUGGGAUUGUUUCUAUUAUAAAUCUGGUAAUUUGGCUCUUUUAGAAAAUGGUAACAGCUUUAAAUUAUCCAAAUGAACUGCAUAACAACAUUUUUCAAGAUAAUUGUUGCACUAAUCUUUCUAUUUGCUAGAUAGAGCAUACUUGAUGUACUUGAUGUUCAACAAAAUGCAACUUUAAUGAAUUAAUGAAUGGAUCCCCAAAAUGUUUUUGGAGCCAUAACUUACCAUACAUACAAUAACGGAAUAAUAUAAUAGGAACCUCUGCCAUCAGAAGAAAAACAGUGAAAACACAAGAGAAGGGAGUUAAGAAGCUCUGGAUACAAGAUUUUUGUUAACCCUGCUGGACAAAGGCUGCUGUCCAUAAGUGACCACUUG